Molecule: non-coding RNA, 543 nt
Organism: Salvelinus sp. IW2-2015
Lineage: Eukaryota; Metazoa; Chordata; Actinopteri; Salmoniformes; Salmonidae
Source: RefSeq, a predicted model, not a curated record
AAUUCUAUGACCCCCUGAAAAGGAAGUGGAUUCCCGUAGCUAAUAUGGUACAAGGUGUGGGAACGCUACGGCCUGUGUUCUGAGAGACACAAUAUAUGUGGCAGGCGGUCACUAUGGUUACAAGGGAAGCUGCACCUAUGAUAAGAUUCAGACCUACAGGGCAGACGUCAAUGAAUGGAGCAUAACAACGACCUGUCCUCAUCCAGAGUACGGCCUGUGCCUGGUGUCACUGCAUCCCAAGCUGUACCUGGUGGGUGGUCAGACCACCAUCACAGACUGUUACGAACCGGACAGAGAUGAGUGGCGCCAGCUGGCCAGGACAAUGAGAGGAGGAUGGAGUGUGGGCCCGUGGCCAUGAACGAGUCCCUGUACGUCACCGGGGCUACUCCUACUCCAAGGGCACCUACCUGCAGAGCGUGGAGAGGUACGACCCCGAACAGGACACCUGGGAGAUCGUGGGGAAUUUACCUCGGAGCGGCGCGGUCACAUGGAUGUGUCUGUGUUUACGGUGUUUAGAGAGAGAGAGAGAGACGAGAGAGAGAG